ACACACACACACACACACAAAAUGGAGCGACAGGGAUUCACCGCGGUCGGACGGGCAUAGGGCGCGCCACGACAACGACGGGCCGCUGGGCCAGUCCUCGCGGCAUCGAUGGCGGCCGAAAGCCUGGCGUAGUCGCUGCCGGCGGGUUGGCGACCGGACGGCGGCGCAACACGGCCUCGUCGGCGGGCGGCAGGUCGGGCCCUCCACCUCCACCCUCUCCUCCUUCGCCGCCUUCGCCCCCCUCUCCUCCCUCGCCGCCCUCUCCACCUUCUCCGCCCUCUCCACCUUCGCCACCUUCUCCACCUUCCCCGCCCUCGCCGCCUCCCGUUGCCUCUCCCCCGCCUCCGCCGCCGCGCAGGCCGAAAAAGGCCGCAAUGCCGGCGACGGCGAGGGCGAUAUAGGUCCAGAUGCUGGUGACGGCAUUUCGUAUGGCCCUGGCCGCCCGCUGGCCGGCAGCGGCGAGGCCGCACAAAAGACCGCUGACUCGGAUGUCGCCCUUGGCGUCCUUGGGGCAGCCCGUGCCAAAGAGGAUCGUGACCACGGACACGAUCACGACGAGCACGGCGAUGACGCCCAGUGCGAUCUUGACCCAGCGCCACACAUCGGUCGGUUGUCGGGGCGGUUCGAGGGCGCCAGGGAUGGCCCCCGGCACGGCGCCGGCCUCGAUCGCCGCCGGCGCGGUCGUGGUCUCGGUCGCCACCAAGGCGGCCAUUGUUGAUCGUCGAGUUCCUUUUUUUUUCUUUUUUCCUCCUGUCGUCAACGUUUUUCUCAACGACGACGCAAAUGCAGGCGGGCGCCGCGGUG
This 804-nucleotide long non-coding RNA is filed under the name Pandoravirus salinus. Its description in RNAcentral is "putative ncRNA". The record is from RNAcentral.